Betta splendens (Siamese fighting fish) is the source of this 1212-nucleotide long non-coding RNA. RefSeq lists it as uncharacterized. The transcript has 3 exons. The record is from RefSeq and is a predicted model, not a curated record. NCBI's taxonomy places the organism in Eukaryota, Metazoa, Chordata, Actinopteri, Anabantiformes, Osphronemidae.
CACUUCCUGUCCCUGUUUUCUGUUUCCUGUCCCAAUAUGUGAGGACUCUGUUUCUACUUGCUCUCUUGUGGUUAUAGUUUGUCCAGUUGUGGUGUUUUUAUUCCUGUAGUGACGUCAUGUCAUCAACGUUUCAUUUCCAGUGCGUCUGUGCACAGUUUGUAACAUUUUCCAGUUGAAAGAGGCCACAGACGGACGUCCGUGUCUCCAACAAAGCUGAGCAGUUCAUGCCUCUGCUUCCAUUAACCUCCACCAUGACAAGAGGAAAACAAACGCAUCCUCGUCUCUCCCGCCUGCGCCCAGUGGCGCGUGUGCUGCCGAGGUGGGACUGGAUCACGGGCGACACAGAUUAGGAGUCAACAGGGUUCCCUUCAUCUGGCUGGAUGCAGCUGGAGGCCGAUUAGACGAAGCACGCGUGGGUGAGGACGGCGCCGCCUGAUGCUAUCGCGCGCCUCCGACCCACUUCCUCGCUGAGAACUCCGCAGACGACCGUGAAAUUGAUCACGCUCCCUGAGAAGAUGUCGCGUUAUGUGUGGCACACGUGUCGAAGGAGGCAAAGGAGGAGAAGAGCUAGAAGAAGACGCCCGCGGGACACGCGGGACCUUUGACUCCACGUCUUUUAUCAGACGCUGGCAGCGGUCUGUUAAUUGGAGCUCCAGGUUAGUCGGUCACUUUGACGUAUUCUGUGUUUUGGUGUUUGGUUCUGAAUGAUUAAGCCACAAAAAACCCAAGUAAAUAGGAGCUUUAUUGACCUCACUGCUAACAGCUGUCAUGAUCAGGUGACUGGUUGCCCACAAACAAAUAACAACAUGUAUUAUUAAUGUGGCCACAAAAACCAUUGGUUUAGUUUAGAGAAAGAUUAUGUUCAUGUUUAUGGGUUCAGGGUAAUAGAACACGGGCAUUAAGAAGUAAUGUCACCUAUAAAAGCCAUAACUAUAUAAUAUAAGGUAACAAAGAGUGGUGUGGCCGACGCAUGAAUAUGACCACUUACUGUAGCUGUGGAGCAGCUGACGGCCAUAACGCAGCAGUCAAUGAUCACAACGUCAAAGUGUGGCCAUUUUCUGCGCCCACAUGCAGCGUUCUGUGCUCUUUACCUUCAAAACACGCCGAGCUCGCGCAUCCACCGGCGCUAAAUGCAAAAGGAAAGGCUGAUUGUAUAAUUAACUGAAGCUAAGUGGCAUUAGUUUCUUUAUUAUUGUAUUCAUGGACAAACAU